ACGGCCUAAAGCGUGGUUAAAUUAUAUUAAUAUAUAUAGAAAUAAAAAUUAACCCAACUGUCGUACGUAUAUGUUAAACGUAAAAUCAAAAACGAAAGAUAUUCUAAUAAACAAAUUAUUUGAACCCACGAAAGCUAAGAAACAAACUAGGAUUAGAUACCCUACUAUGCUUAACCUUAAACUUUGGAAUACCCCGCCUGAGCACUACGAGCCACAGCUUAAAACUCAAAGGACUUGGCGGUGCUCUACACCCCCCUAGAGGAGCCUGUUCUGUAAUUGAUACUCCCCGCUAAACCUCACCACUUAUUGCCACCCCCGCCUAUAUACCGCCGUCGUCAGCUCACCAUUUAAAUGAAUAAAAGUAGGCACAAUGAUAAACAUAAAAACGUCAGGUCAAGGUGUAGCGAAUUAAGUGGAAAGAAAUGGGCUACAUUUUCUACACAGAAAAUACGAAUAAUUUUAUGAAAAAAUAUUUAAAGGUGGAUUUAGCAGUAAAAAGAAAAUAGAGUGUUCUUUUUAAAUAGGCCCUAGAGCGCGCACACACCGCCCGUCACCCUCCUCAAAAAAUUGCUUACAUAUAUAAUAUUAAAAAAAUAAAAGAAGAGGUAAGUCGUAACAUGGUAAGUUUACCGGAAGGUGUACUUGGAUUAU
Molecule: ribosomal RNA, 651 nt
Filed under: Afghanodon mustersi (Paghman mountain salamander)
Lineage: Eukaryota; Metazoa; Chordata; Amphibia; Caudata; Hynobiidae
Description: partial 12S ribosomal RNA
Rfam family: Bacterial small subunit ribosomal RNA
Source: RNAcentral